RNAcentral lists this long non-coding RNA (608 nucleotides) under Homo sapiens (human). Its description in RNAcentral is "HSALNT0356007". The record is from RNAcentral. Lineage: Eukaryota; Metazoa; Chordata; Mammalia; Primates; Hominidae.
AUGUGCUUUUAAAGUCCUUGUGACAUUGAGUUACAGGGCUUUGACUCCUGGAUCUAUAAAGGACACCAAGUCCUGCUACAUCUUAAACACUGACAACAAUUAAAGCCUCAUCUUCAGGCGCAGUAGAAGAUGCCAAUCAAAAUAAAUUGCAUUCCUGAGACAUAGGGCCAGAAAUAAAAGCUAUUCAACUCCUCAAGGCCCCAGGACUAUUGUGGAAGAGGUUUCUGAUAACUUUGAAGACUGUGACAUCAGAAUAGAGGAAAAACUUUGAAAACUCAUGGAGAGCUGAAAUGUUCAUGAAUAUCAAGCAGAGCAGGAAUUAGCUGCAUGAACUGAACUAAUAGAAGACUGAAGAAUCAAACUUGACUUAUGGAGACAAUAAAAGCCCCUUGGGAAAACUGGCCUCAUACUUUGUCUACGCAGUGCCUGUACAGGGUUCCUGAUCUGUGGUAAGUAAAAAAUGUAACUUUCUGACAGGUCCAGGAGCCCCAAGUUUAUCUUGGGAUCUCAAGAGGAGAGAAAUUCACCCACGCAUAGGUGUUUGAUGGUACAAAUCCAUGGCUGGGUUUCACUUCAAAAAAAUAUUAUCUGAGAUUCCUUCUGUGGAA